CGAGGCGUGAAUAUUGCACAAUGGGCGCAAGCCUGAUGCAGCCAUGCCGCGUGUAUGAAGAAGGCCUUCGGGUUGUAAAGUACUUUCAGCAGUGAGGAAGGCGGAUGCGUUAAUAGCGUAUUCGUUUGACGUUAGCUGCAGAAGAAGCACCGGCUAACUCCGUGCCAGCAGCCGCGGUAA
This 180-nucleotide ribosomal RNA is filed under the name uncultured bacterium. RNAcentral's name for it is "partial 16S ribosomal RNA". It matches the Rfam family "Bacterial small subunit ribosomal RNA", at positions 351 to 523 of the family's 1533-position model. The record is from RNAcentral.